GUCUCUUUGAUUUAUUUUAAUAAAGAGUUGGGCCUGCUCGGUGAUUAUAUUUAACAGCUNNGGUAUUAUAACUGUACUAAGGUAGCAUAAUAAUUUGCCUUAUAAAUUAGGGCUAGAAUGAAUGGUUUGCCGAAAAUUAGACUGUCUCUAUUUUAUUUGUUAGAAAUUAAUUUUCAUAGUGAAAAAGCUUAAAUAGUUUAAAGGGUACGAAAAGACCCUAUUGAGCUUGAUAUUGUUAUAUAAAGUUUUUGAUGAUUUAAAUUGUUAUAAUAUUGGAUAUAGGAUAAUUUUGGUUGGGGUGAUCAAGGAAUAAAAAUAUAAGGUAACUUCCUUAAAGAUUUGUUAAAUUUAUAUAUUAAUAAACCAAAUUUUUUGCUUAGAUGAUAAGUUACCAUAGGGAUUANAGNGUAAUUUUUUUUGAGAGUUCAUAUUUAAAAAAGAGAUUGCGACCUCGAUGUUGGAUUAAAAUAACCUUAAGGUGUAGAGGCUUUAUUAGGUAAAUCUGUUCNAUUUUUAAAAUUUUAC
Molecule: ribosomal RNA, 525 nt
Filed under: Octopus rubescens
Lineage: Eukaryota; Metazoa; Mollusca; Cephalopoda; Octopoda; Octopodidae
Description: partial 16S ribosomal RNA
Rfam family: Bacterial large subunit ribosomal RNA
Source: RNAcentral